GGGUUCGGGCUCUUUUUGCGCAGUCUAGGUGGGAGGCGUUGAUAUUAGGUUUUCGGACCUAGUGGAGCCAUCAGUGAGAGACCACUCUGAAAGAGCUAGAAUCCUAAUAGGACUCCUUGAAUCAGGAUCCUUGACAGUUUCAGGCGGACAGUUUGUCUGGGGCGGAUACCUCCCAAAAGGUAACGGAGGUGUGCAAAGGUUCCCUCAGGCUGGACGGAAAUCAGCUGUAGAGUGUAAAGGUAAAAGGGAGCUUGACUGCAAGACCAACAAGUCGAGCAGGGGCGAAAGCCGGCCUUAGUGAUCCGACGGUACCAUGUGGAAGGGCCGUCGCUCAACGGAUAAAAGUUACUCUA
Molecule: ribosomal RNA, 353 nt
Filed under: Desmochloris sp. BOPS-21-1
Lineage: Eukaryota; Viridiplantae; Chlorophyta; Ulvophyceae; Chlorocystidales; Chlorocystidaceae
Description: bacterial LSU rRNA
Rfam family: Bacterial large subunit ribosomal RNA
Source: RNAcentral